CGUUGUGAAGGUAACAUAUACGUCCCUCUCCCUCUCUCUCUCCCUCCCUCCCUCACACACACACACGCCCUCUUACGGAACACAGUAACCAACACAGACGCACGCCACGCCCACGCCCCCUCGCCAGCUGGUAUGUAAGAAUCAAAUGAAGCGGCGUGGACAGCAAUACAAGGAAGAACCAACAGUGUAAAUUAUGUCAACCCAAAAUCUGCUCUAAAACAAAGAAGAACAAGAGACCAGAGAAAAGGCAAUAUCCUAAGUCCUUCAAAUGACACUACAAUCCAUGAGUGAGUGUGUGAAGUAAUUGACCUUGAUGCAGUUCUCACGUGCUGCAUAUUGCGUUGUAGGGGUCUCUUGUGGUGCCCUAUAGUUUUUGGCCCCAGCUCGUUAGUGAAGCGGGCGAAUUUUAUUUUGAGUGGCUGCCGUGAUAUACUGUAUGUGGUGAGGCAAAGGUCGCAGUGUAAGUGAAGGGAAGUAAAGGAAAGAGAGACAGUAAGUGGCAGAAGAAACCUAGAAAGAGUGAGACAGAGUGAGUUUGCAUCGAAAGAAGGAUGAAGUAGAGGAAGAAAAUUUUAAAGAGAAAAUUAAAAGUGAUAAAAGACGAGGUGGAAGUUAAAAAAGAAGAGAAACGGAAGUGACAAAAGCGACAGACAGUGAAAAAGUGAUUGUGACGAAGAAAAGAAGGAAAAAAAGUGAAUUUGCAUUGACGGAAGGAUAAAACACAGGUGACAACAAAGAAAGACAAACGAGAACUGAUAAAAUACAGACAUAGAAAGAGACACAGAAAUACAGAAGAAGAAACAAGCAAAAGGAGACAAGUGAUACAUAAAUAGUCGGGCCAAUGAUGAUGUCCUCGCCAAAAUCCCCCAAAUCGGCCUUGAGCAAGAUUGGCUUGGGUCGACCACGGCCUCUACGCAUUCUCGUGCUGGGGCAAACCUCGGUGGGAAAGACAGCGCUGGUGGUUCGGUACAUCACGCGGCGGUACAUCGGGGAGUACGACUCGUGCCAGGAGCGCGUCUACUCACACACGGCGAUAGUGGACGCCGACACGCUGGCCCUGGAGAUACUAGACUCGGCGGGUCAGUCCCACGAGACGGACAGCGUGAGACUGGAGGCCAACAUAAGGUGGGCCGACGUGUUCGUGUUGAUGUACUCGGUGACGGACAAGUGCAGCUUCGACGAUUGCAACAGACUCAAGUUCCUCAUCAACUACAACAAGAGAAAGCGGCGGAUCACGAGCCCGACUUCAAAGGACGGGGCGUGGGAGGUUCCUGUGGUGCUGGUGGGGAACAAGAAGGACCAGGCGGGGGACAGGAUGGUGAGCAGCGAGGAAGGAUUCAAGCGGAGCAGAGACAUCGGCUGCCAGACCUUCCACGAGAUAUCCGUCAGAGAGAGCAUCGACGAGGUCUCCCGCGUGUUUGAGGAUGCUGUACGUUACUGGCGGGAGAUAGCCAAGGCCCCUAAGCUGCGCCGGGCAUCAUCUGACCUACCCGACCUGCCCUCAGAGCCUCAUAAGGUCCACCAUCCUCCAAUAAGCGUUCCGGGUUCCCCGGCCUGCACGCGGUCCUAUACCUUUCGUGGGUCCCGCAGGCUGUCCGUCCGCUCUCGUACGCACCCUGUCUGCCCUACUAAAAACCCCAGAGACCUGUUCUAGCUAACAUCCUCGCCCCAGUCCUUGUAUAGCUUGUCUUGGGGUGAAGCGAAGAGAGUAGAGGGAAGGGUGCGUGCGCGUAGCUGGUAUUACUGAUCUCAGGAGUGGUGUGUGUGUGUGUGUGUGUGUGUGUGUUUAUAGUAAAUGAAGCAGCUCAAGGACAAAAAAAAAAAGAGAAAUGAAAGAGUGUGAAAGAGAAUGAAAACAUAGUAAGAAGAAAAUGAAGGAAAGAAAAGAAAAGUUAACAGAAAGGGAGUAAUUUUGAACCUAGGGGAACCUCACUAUACUCAACCUGACUUUCAUCUCCCAUCAUCAAAGACAGGAGAAAAUAAUAAAACAGAAAGGGAGGCAUAUUAGACCCUAGCAGAACCUCACUUAUCUAAAAACCUCACUUCCACCUCCUCCCACCCUCAUCUCUACCUCAUAAAAAACUUCCUAUGUCCCCUUUUUGAACCUUAAGUGCCUGCUUAAAAUGCAAGAACUACUGCUGUUUUGUCAAUGUUGUCCGCCAAUGUCGUAUGUAAACUGUAUGACUUAACGCCCGUAUUGCAAACCCUCCCUUCCGUCCGAGGCCUUAGUGAGGGAGAGCUUGGAAUACGAGCGUUUGGGUGUGUGUCUGAUAUUGAUGUGAUGUGUAUACGACAAUGUCAGAAGAGAAUUAUAUAUAGAAAAGCCACGUGUCACUGUUGUCUUGUCACUGUUGUUUGCUAAUGUUUAUAUCAGUGUGACUUUGCAUACGUGUUAGUGCUGUGAUGUGUUUAAGAGAGUGGUGAUAAAGGAAUACAAAUGGAUCACUGAACUUGAAGAUGGCGUUGUUAUUACUGCAAAACAUAGUGAUGGUGGUGACGGUGGUGGUGGUGAUGGUGGGAAUCUUGAGGCCAAAGAUUCCCCGCCUGAGUCCCGUUGGAUAUCCUUUGUUCUCGGGGUAAGAGGCAGGAAAGCAUCAGAGGAGGAGAGCCCCGAGAUGGAUAGCGGUCUCCUGGCCCUCCCCUUCAGAAGCCGAGCCUCCACUGACGGGCAUCUUCAUC
RNA transcript from Eriocheir sinensis (Chinese mitten crab), 2679 nucleotides. It is a transcript of the gene named ras-related and estrogen-regulated growth inhibitor-like, with no coding region annotated. The transcript has 8 exons. The record is from RefSeq and is a predicted model, not a curated record. Lineage: Eukaryota; Metazoa; Arthropoda; Malacostraca; Decapoda; Varunidae.